UUAGACAGCAUUCACUUGCGCAA
RNAcentral lists this non-coding RNA (23 nucleotides) under Rattus norvegicus (Norway rat). Lineage: Eukaryota; Metazoa; Chordata; Mammalia; Rodentia; Muridae. The record is from RNAcentral.